Molecule: ribosomal RNA, 615 nt
Filed under: uncultured Micromonas
Lineage: Eukaryota; Viridiplantae; Chlorophyta; Mamiellophyceae; Mamiellales
Description: SSU rRNA
Rfam family: Eukaryotic small subunit ribosomal RNA
Source: RNAcentral
UUGGAUGCACUGGCUGGUUUCAACUUCCUGUAGAGGACGCGCUCUGGCUUCAUCGCUGGACGCGGAGUCUACGUGGUUACUUUGAAAAAAUUAGAGUGUUCAAAGCGGGCUUACGCUUGAAUAUUUCAGCAUGGAAUAACACUAUAGGACUCCUGUCCUAUUUCGUUGGUCUCGGGACGGGAGUAAUGAUUAAGAGGAACAGUUGGGGGCAUUCGUAUUUCAUUGUCAGAGGUGAAAUUCUUGGAUUUAUGAAAGACGAACUUCUGCGAAAGCAUUUGCCAAGGAUGUUUUCAUUAAUCAAGAACGAAAGUUGGGGGCUCGAAGAUGAUUAGAUACCAUCCUAGUCUCAACCAUAAACGAUGCCGACUAGGGAUUGCAGGAUGUUAAUUGAUGACUCCUGCAGCACCUUAUGAGAAAUCAAAGUUUUUGGGUUCCGGGGGGAGUAUGGUCGCAAGGCUGAAACUUAAAGGAAUUGACGGAAGGGCACCACCAGGCGUGGAGCCUGCGGCUUAAUUUGACUCAGCACGGGAAAACUUACCAGGUCCAGACAUAGUAAGGAUUGACAGAUUGAUAGCUCUUUCUUGAUUCUAUGGGUGGUGGUGCAUGGCCGUUCUU